UGGUCAUAUACCAAGGCUUUCAGGUAAUUUUGUUCCUGACUUGCUGUGGACCUGACCAGAAAUAAAAACCAUUCCAGUGAGCUUCUGCGGCAGUCUGCUCAGAAGACUUGUUGGGAACACUU
This 122-nucleotide small nucleolar RNA is filed under the name Hippocampus comes (tiger tail seahorse). Its description in RNAcentral is "Small nucleolar RNA SNORA32 (ENSHCOG00000007175.1)". The record is from RNAcentral. Lineage: Eukaryota; Metazoa; Chordata; Actinopteri; Syngnathiformes; Syngnathidae.